GUUUUGGGCUCUGCACUGAGCAUGGAGCCUGCUUAAGAUUGUCUCUCUCUUUCUCUCUCUCACUCUCUCCUCCACUUUCACACUCUGUCUCUCCCUCUAAAAUAAAAAGUAAGUACAUAAAUAAAAGUCAUAUCUCAUUUGUUAAUUAGAACACUCAAACUCUGGGAUAUCUCAAACAAUGUUUGAGAUCAUUGUAAACAAUGAUUAGUAUACAAAUUUGUUUUGGGAUACCAUUUUCAAUCAUUUUUUGUUUAAUCUACAUAUGUGUUAAAUUUUUAAGGUAUCUUAAAGGAUGAAGACUUUCUUGAUGAACAGCAUCAGCAUUUUCUGUUGAUAAUAGCAACUGGCAAAUAAAGACUAUAAUGACACUGCUGUGCAGUGUGACUCUUCAAGUAGGCCCUGGAUUUGGUCUAAGACUUGCUUAAUUAUGUCUAUCAGGUCACAAUCUAUGUAAGGAGCAGAUAGGCAACCAGUUGUCCAAUGGAAUGUCAUCCAGUGUAACAAGGAGGAAAAAACACUAAGGUAAAAGAAAAGUGCCAAUACAUGCUUAUAAAGAGCUAAUAGAAAGUGUGUGAUGUUACCUACACUGGUGAUACCAAAAUGAAACAAUGGUAACUAUUAUAAAAAAUAACGUGUAAAUUUUAUUCUUUGAUUAACCAUACUAGGUUAGGGGGUAGAAAGACAGGGAAUGAAGACUUUCUGAAAAAAAGUCUACUGAAAGAAAUUACUUGACCCAUUUAUCUGAAAUCAAAACUAAGAAUCCUGAGUUUUACAAGAUCAUCAAAUGUUCAGCUACAUUUUAGGGUAGGUGUGUAUUACUGUUUAACAGAUAAAGAAUAUGGCUUAUAGUCUACCCAUAACUUGUUACAUACCUUAAAACAUACCACUUUAAGAGUCAUCAAUUUAGGGGGAAGAUUUGAAUGGCAUCAAGACUCUGUUUCAGUCCUGCCCUACACCACAUCUUUAAGUUCACUAAGAUAAAAAUAUUGUUGGACUUACGAUUAAUGUUUUUAAAGAAAGCAAGAGGACAGAGUCUUACGGUACUUGAAUCAAGGCUCCAGUAAAAUCUCAGUAAGCCCAGUAAGCCAAAAGGAUGGGCAAGGCUGGAUAUAAUGAAAAUGAAUUGGUACAAAUGUAGAAGUCCAGCCUUGGGGAUUAGACAGCUACCUGUACAAGGACCUCGUAGGGACCUGUGGCUUGUCAUCAGCAAAUGUGGAAAAAGACUCGAGGCUUGUCCUAACCACUACUUUUGCAACUCACAGAGUGGCAUGAUGGUAAAACAAAACAAAACAAAUCACUAUAUAUACAAUGACAUUUUAUUAAUAUAUGAUAUGUCCAGAAGAGGAGAACGCAUUGUCCUAUUUUAUGUUGGUCAGACUUUCCAAGUAGUUCUGUGUUUAUUUCUAUAGAGAUAUAAGUAAAGUAGGACAUGUCUAAAACAAUGUGGCCAUUUGGUAAAGGAGAUUCAAAGAUGUUUUGUUGAAGAGUAGGAAGGAUUUCUGACUUCCAACAAUAAAGCACCAGAAUUAAAAUAGGGGUUUAGAUUUGAACCUUGUUGACCUCAAGGCAUAACCUUAACCAAAGUUAAAGACACACAGAAGUAGAAUUCAACACACCACAAGAAAAAACUUUUUAGCCAUUUUACAGAAUCCAAAUAUUUGGAGGCAAUGGGUUCAUUAUUGCUGGAGAUACUCAAGCAGAAAUUUCAGUAGCCACAAUGGGUGUGUGUGUUAUAGCAAUGAUCUAAGCAACAGAAAUGUUACAAAAUCUUCAACCCUGAGAGUUUAUUAAAUGUGUAUCAACAAUUCCCAGGUGUACCACUUAACCAAUUUCUUAGGUAUCACUUCUCUGGGCCUCAGUUUCCUCCUAUUCAACGGACAGAGAGGUGAUAGUACUCACAGAACUGUUAGAGAGAUUAAAUGAGGUUGAAGAACAAUAGCAGUGACUUGAUUCCAAAUCUCCUCAUGACAUUCCCAAAAUAACCUUACAAUCAACAAGAAGAACAAAUAAAACUACACAGGAUCUAUGACUUAAACAUUGUUAGGGAACAGAAAACACUGCAACUUUCAAGUCACUUAUGAGAAAAAAAAAUCUGACAAAGCUCCCAAUACCUGCAAACCAUCUCAGUGAACCUGUAUGCAUAGAGAGGUGGGGUGAGGGGCCAAUAGGGGAAGUGAGACCUACAAUAAAUUAUCAAACACACAUUGGGAUUUGGUAAUUCACAGACCUGGCUACAGGGAAGGGGCUUGAAAGUGGUCAAGGCUUAAAGUAGCACCCUCAGAGAGGCAGUGGUUCUUAGGGAGGAUUGUAGAGAGAGAAAAGAGAUUGUACUCCUUGGAUAAGAGGUGAUGGAGGGAAAGAAAAGGAGAAAAUUGAAGGUCUUUCUGGGUAAGAUUUGUUGAUUGUAUCAAUGUCAAUAUUAUGAUUGUAAUAAUUGUGCUAUAGGUUUCCAAGAUGCUACCAGUAAGGAAAACUGCAGAAAGAAUUAAUGGGAUCUCUUUGUGUUAUCUUUCACAAUUUCAUGUUACUCUUCAAUUAUCUCAAAAUAAGUUUUAUUUUAAAAACUUAUUCUAUUUUCAUAAGGUAAAAAAUGGACAACAUGAAACCAUAUUGUUUAGAAAUUUAUAUUUAGGUGGUAAAACUAAAGAAAAGAAACUAAUUGUUAUAAGUGUCAGUAGAGUGGUUUCCUCUAAAAUGGGAGAAAGAAGCUGUCACUGGAAAAAAGUUUGAGGUGAAAGUGUUUCCUAACUUCAUGAUUGUUACACUCUGCAUAGGCUUUAAAAUACUCUAUUAAGUUCUCCAUUUAUGUUUUUUAAGAAAUUUACAAGAAAAGGUACAGACCACAGACCUCCAGGCCAUAUUUGUAAACCACACUGUUCUAGGACACAAAGAAAACUUUGAUAGUUUCCAUAACAUGAAAUACUAAAACUGAUUUGACCACAAUGCAUUAAAACUGGAAAAUAAAACUAAACAAAAAAUGAAAGACAUCUCACUUGGAAAUUAAAGAUUUUUCAUGAAGUAAUUCUUGGGUGAAAUGGGAAUAAAACAAAAUUAAUGUAUUUCUGAAAAAAUAGCAAUAAUAAAAACACUAUAUACCAGAAAUUAUGGAAUGUACUUAAAGCAAUGUAAAUUAUUUGUAACCCUAUAUACCAAGAUCAAUAAAAAUGAAAGAAUAAAAAUAAUUAAAUUCCCAACUCAAAACACUGAACAAGGAACAAAAUAAGUAAAUCAAAUGAAAUUAGAAGAUGGGAUUAUUUGAGUUAAAAUCAGAAAUUAAUGAAAUAGAGAAUGGAAAAACAGUAGGUCAAAUUAAUAAAAAUCCUGGUUCAUUAGAAAAAUAAACAAAAAUAGACAAACCACUAGCUAAUUUAAUCAAGAAAAGAAGGAGAAAUCACAAAUAUACAAAAUGAGUAAUUAUAACUUGGGGAUAAUUAUGAUCCAAAAGAAAAAAUUUUAAGUCAUUUGCCCUUAUGCAAAUCAACUCAAAAGCCUAGAGGAAAUGGAUAAAUUUUUAAGCAAAUAUAGUGUACCAAAACUGAUCCCAGUAAAUGUAGAAAAUUUAGACCAGUUUUCACAAAAUUGGGAACAAAUUUCUAGCUACCCCACAUGAUAGCAUCAAGCCCAGAUGAUCAUACAGGAGAAUUCUAUCAAACCUUUAGAGACCAGACAAUCCUAAUGAUACAUAAAUUGUCUCAGACAAUAAGAAGUCAAGAAUGACUUUUGACUUCUUUUUAUGAAGCCACAUAUAACAUGGGUAUCUAAACCUGAUAAACAUAGUACAAAAACCUGUAGAUCAAUAUAAUUUAUGAGACUGAUAUAAAAAUUUUUAAAUAAAGUACUACUGAACUGACUCUAACAACACAUUAAAAAAUUAAUACACAAGAAUCAAAUAAGGUUUAUACUAAAUGUAAAAAUGCUUAAUAUUAGAUGACAAAUUAAUUUACCAUUGUAAUGUCUAUGGGUAAAAAUGAUAUGAAUUUCUUUAUAUGUGUUGAAGAAUGACUUUAGCAAAAUUAAGUAUUCAUUCCUCAUAAAAACUAUCAGGAAAAUAGUAAGGAAUGGCUAUUUCCUUACUUAACAGGGAAACAUUAGAGGGAUUCCCACUGAGGUCAGUAACAAAGCUAGCAAGCCCACUCCACUGGUAUCUAGCAUUGUCUGAAGGUAAUAGUCAAUACAAUCAGAUGGGAGAAAACAACCAGAGGUACAGGAGUAAUAAAUAAAUCUACCUCUGUUUGCAGAUUACAUGAUACUAUACAUGGAAAAUCCUAGAGAAUCAAAGAUAAAAUGAAUUCAAACAAUAAAAUAAUAAGAGAGCAUGAUAUAAACCUAACAGGUAAAAAUCAGUAGCAUUCAUAUACACAAAUAGUAACCAGCUAGAAAAUAUAAUGAAUGCACAAAACCAUUUACAAUGGCAACAAGAAAUAUAAAAUAGGAACAAAUUUCACAAGAAAUGCUCAAAAUCUAUAUGAAAAAAUCCAUUAAAGUACUUCUGUAAGACACAGAAACAGGCUUAAAAGACUGGAAAGACAUCUCUUUUUUUUAUGUUUUAUUUUAUUUUUUGAGAGACAGAGCACAAGCUGGGGAAGGGCAGAAAAAGAAAGAGACACAGAAUCAGAAGCAGGCUCCAGGCUCUGAGCUGUCAGCACAGAGCCCAAUGCGGGGUUUGAACCCACGAACGCAAGAUCAUGACCUGAGCAAAAGUCGUACACUCAACUGACUGAGCCACCCAGGAGCCUGACAUCUCUUAUUCUUUAUUAGCAAAUCUCAACAUCAUCAAGAUGUCAAUUCUAAGUUAAUUUUCAAAUGUAAUCUGAUCCCAAUAAAAAUUCCAAUGGGCUUUUUUAUAGAGCUAGAUAAGUUGGCCUUAAAAUUCAUAUGCAAAAUAAACACACAGGGUCAGAGAGGUGUGGAGAGAUGGAGCAAAGGAGAAGUGAGGUAGAGGGGUAGUGUGAGAGAUUCAAAACAUGAGAAUGGUUGACUAGGCAUUGCUGCCCUUGAAGACAGAGAAAGGGGGUUGUUGGCCAAGGAAUGGAGGCAGAGCUUAGAAGCUGAGAACAACCACCAGCCUAUAGCCAGCAAGAAGACGAAAACAUCAUUUGCACAACCACAUGCAACUAAAUUCUGUUAACAAAAUGAAAGAUCUUGAAAGCUAAUUCAUCCUCAGAGCCUCCAAAAAAGAAGCAGACUCAAGGACACCAUGAUUUCAACUUUAUGAAAUCAGAGCAGAGAGCCAGCCAAGAGAACCCAACAUAUCACCUAUAGAAACAUACAAAGAUUGAAAUGAAGAAAACAACAAAGUCUUCCAGUGAACAUGAAUAAAUGUGGUGUGUUCUGGAUAAAAAAAGAAUUGUUAAGUUACAUGGAAGUUCAUCUAUUUUUAAAACGUGAGAAUAGUCAAGAAAAAUUUUAAAGAGUAUAUUGAGAGAGACUUGCUUUGCCAGGAUAUUGAAAAAUUUUCAAAGCUACAAUAAUUAAAAUGGAUAGUACUGUCUCUGGAAUAGACAAAUACAUCACUGAAACAGAAAAAGAAAGCCUACAUACAAAAUUAUGUCUAUGAUAAAGAUCACUAUAAAUGAAUAGAUAAAGAAUAAAUUAUUCUUUAAUUAGUGCUAGGACAACUGGUUAACAGAAAAAGAGUUAGAUCUUCACCUCAUACUGUACAGCAAAAUAAAUUGUAGCUGGAUUAAAAAGUUAAACAUUUUUUAGGUCAAAUAGGUGAAUAUUUAAAUAAUCUGAAGAUGAGAGAAAAUCUUCUAAGCAUUACAGGAAUUUUCAAAAUCCACAAUACAAAGGACUGAUAUAAAUAAAGAUAAUUAAAACCUUAUGUAUCAAAAUAUGCCAAACCAAAUAUGGAAACACAUAAUAGUUGGGAGGAAAUAUAUGCAAAACUUAUGACAGUGAGAGGAUUAAUAGACAUAAUAUGUGAGACACUCUUAAAUAAUUAAACAAAGACUUUAAUAGAAAAAAUGGGAAAAUAUAUCAAAUGAAAAUUCACAAAAGACAUUAAACUGACUGAUAAAAUGCUUAAAAGUUUCAACAGCAAGAAUAAUCACAAAGCUUUCUAAAAUGAAAUUUCUUUAGCAUUGAGGGCAAUCUCUUCUGAUUGAAAAGUUAAGCCUUCAUGAAAUGGUCCAUUGGCUUUUCAUAGACACAUAGAAUUUAGUGUCUAAUUUGGUGUGAUACAUUUUUUAAGCUGCAUUCUCAUUAUUUUCUUUUACUUUUAUUUUUUGAAUGCUUUUUUUUUAAAGCCUUGGACUGUGUCAAUAGAGUGUAAAAUUCUGUUGAUCAACUAAAAUAUGUGGUGUGAGUUUGAGAUUACAAAAUAUCUUCCACAAUUAAUGAGAGAAUCGUUCUCUUUUUGAAGGAACUUUAUGGGGAAUAUAAUUUUUUAAAUGCUAAUUUAUGCCAGAAACAAAAGAAAAUGUACUAUGAUGAUAAACAUAAAUUCUAUAGGAUCCAAAUUUUUUUUUUCUUAGACAGAGAAAGCUUGCGUGCAUGCAUUGGGGGAGGGGCAGAGGGAGAAAGAGAAUCUUAAGUGGCUCCAUGCCCAGCACUGAGCCUGACACAGGGUUCAAUCUCACCACCAUGAAAUCAUGACCUGAGUUGAAAUCAAGAGUUAAACACUUAACUGACUGGGCCAUCCAGGCGCCCCUUUUCUCUGCCUUUUUUAAAAAUAGGAUCUGAAUUUUUAAGGCAUAAUAGAUCUUCAUGGAACACUGGGGUCAACAGAUAUGAUUUCUUGAAUCACAGACUCGAAGCAGGUGAAAAUUGAUCAUAGUUUUACUUACUCUAAUUUAAAGUAGCAUGCUUUACCACGAUAAAAUAGGGCUGGUUUAAUCUUCUCUGGUUUCUUUUAGGGGGCAUGUCAGUAUAGAAAUAAUCCCAAGGCAGAAACAGUGGACUACAAUUGUCUUGAGUUAGUUUUGGAACCAUAAAUACAUACAAUAGAGGAUUCUACUCAUUCAAAGAGUGAUGAGAUAAAAGAUUGUUUUCAACUGUAAAGUCCAGAAGAAGCUACCAGAACACGAUGAUGGCAUGGUUUUCUUUCCCCCUUGGUGGGAUGGAUUUUUGAUGAGAGAUGAAAAGAAGAAUGAGAAGAUACUAGGAACCAGGCAAUAAAAUUAACUUCUUUUCAAGGCUGUAUUAAACUGAAAUAAUUUUCUUAUAUACUCAACUCAUAAAGAGAAGGAAUAAAAUGGCUAUCAUUCUUCCAUUUACAAAAGCAUUUCCCAUAAUCCAAGUUAAGUAUGAUUCAUUAAUAAUAAUAUAGUGAAAGUGACCUUUAUGUUGAUUAAAAUUUUAGUUUUAUUAAAAAAUAAAAAUGAAAAAUAAAAAACACAAAGAUGGCUAGGAAAUUACUGAAUAGGAAGAUCUGUAGGGUGGCGGGUGGCAGUGGGGGUUGGGGGACAAGAGAAAGAACUGCAACCAGCUAUAAAAAUGUGCUACAGUUAUUAAACGGUAUGGUAUCGGCACAAGAAGAAGCCAUCAGACCAAUCAAAAAGAAUAAAACUUCCAGAAAGUGAUCCAAUUACAUAUACAAAUCUAGUUUAUGAUAAAAGAGGUAUCUCAAAUCACUGGAGCAAAGAUGCUCUGUUUAACAUAUAGCAUAGGGAUGACUGGAUAGCCACUUGGAAGAAGGUAAAAGCAGAUCAUUUUCAUCACACCCAAGAAUAAACUCCAAAGGGAUCAGAGAUAUAAAUAUAAAAAUAAAAGUAUACAAGUACCAAAAGAAAACGUAAGUGAAUUCUUCUAAAGUGUGUGUAUAAGGAAAGGCUUUCUAGCUAUGAUCUAAAGUCCCAGAUACAGUAAAAGAGGACGUUAGUAAAUUUGACUAUUUACUAGUUAAAACUAAUAAAAUGUUUUGCAUGGCAAAAACAUUAACAAAGUCAAAGACAUCUGACAAACUGGGAAAAAAUAUUCACAGCAUGUCACAGAUAAAGGGUUAAAUGCCUAAUUGAUUAAGAAUUUUUUUAAUUGAGGAAAAAAUCCAGUAGAAAUCUAUUUUCACCAGUCAGAUUGACAAAAUUCAAAAGCUUGACAAUAUACUCUGUUGAUGAGGUGGUGGAAAAAUAGGCACUGCCGUAUAUUGCUGAUCAACAUGAAAAAUAGUGUGACCGCUAAGAAGGGGAAUUUGAUACCAUCUAACCAACUCUAUGCAACAAAACCAGUUCACAACACAGAAUUCCCUCUAUGAAUAUUUCCUGAACAUCUACCUCCAACAAUAUGAAAAACACAAAUGCACAAAGUUAUUCACAGAGUAGUAUUUGUCAUUGUCAAGCAGAGGAGAUUGGUUGAAUAAAUGAUGGUAUGUACACACAAUGGAGUACUAUGCAACUAUGAAACACAACACAAUGGAGUACUAUGCAACUGUGAAAUACAAUUAGGAGGAGAUCUAUGUGCUGGUAUGGAAUGAUUUCCAGAAGAUAUUACUAGUGAAAAAAGAAAAAUACAUAAAAAAGUAUCUAGUGAGCUAAUUUUUGUGUAAAAAUAAGGGGGAAACUUUCAAAUUCACACAAUGGCUUAUCAUUACAAAAAGGAACACAAGAAGCACAAACCUGAAGACAAUGUAAUUGGUUGUCUACAAGGGGUUGCAGAAACUGUGUAGAAGGAAUACAAGAAGCAGUGAAGCAUCUCAGAUUAUACCCUUUUGUAUUGUUUGACUUUCAAAAUCAUAUUAAUAUUCUACAUAUUCAAAAAAUUAAAUUAAGUCAAGAAUACAAAGAAACUGUUAAAACUGAAAGCAAACUGAAACACACGAGCCUACUUGUAUUUCACAUGUAUACUAUAGCCACACUUAAGGAAGGGAGACAGGGAAGGAGGGAGAGGAACACAGUAUUUGACCAUAUACCCUUGUCUUGGGGUACAUGGGGAGUGAGACUACAAAUAAAUCCCAAACUCUUCUUAGUACGUUGUUUAUUCUAAUGUCAUGGGAAAAGCAAUUCUGAAACUAUUUUAGAUGUACUAAAUAAAGGAUCGAACAAAUGAUUAAAUGGCUUGAUGUUCUUGGAAGACAAGAAAUAACUCAUUGGGAGUGUAUUAGAACCGGAGGUAUUGGUGUAAACUCAUGAUUUUAGAAAAUAUUUAUAUGAAGCUUAUGUGCACAUAUAUGUACAUCCACAUGUGUAUAUGUAUGGGUGUCUGUAUACUGGUAUGCCGGUAUAUACAUACAUGUGCAUAUGCAUCCUAGUUCUCUUCACUGUAAAGGGCCAAAGAGCAAAGGCCAGAGUAGCAACAAGCAAACCUAGCACCCAGACCUCGGUCCCACUAAAAGAAACCAAGGCUUCUAGGAGAAAUGGCUGAUUCUAGGACUGGAACAGGGUAGCUUAAUUCCUAAAAAGAUAGGCUGCCUCUGGCAUCCAGCACUUGUUCUCCUCUUCAAAUCCUAUGAAUCUGUACACAUGUUCUGCUAUCUACUGUUGACAUGACUCUUAGUCAAUCUUUCUUGACUGCCAUAAAGUUUAUUAUGUUCCUCAGGUCUUUAAAGAACUUCCACCAAUUCCAAAUUGUCACUUAUUUUUAUCCUGUGUUCCUGCAACAUUCCCUUAAAGGCCAUAUAAAACUCAUUUUUAAUUUGCAUCAUGAUAAGCUUCUCUUAUUUGCAACUGGUUCCACCUUUCUACUUCCAUAAGUUGUAUGACAUUAUAAGUCUAAAAGGUUUGCCAAAACACAAAUGUCAGAAAAAUUGGGCACAACUAAUUAAAUGACACACAUGGCAGAAGCCAUGCGUUCAGUAUAGUGUGUUAAAAAUAAAAACAAACAGACAACAAACCUCAUUGGCUGAGAGGAUUUGCAGUGUGGACAUGCUAUAAAACUCGGCUAAGACUACCUACCCUACAGGCUCACUGGCUGACAAUACAACUGUUCUCAGAACACAGGGGAAAAUAUGGCAGAGACCAACUGCAUCAUAAUAAAUGAGACCUUUAUCAUUUUCCACGUGUCCACCUAACAUUUUUAUUACCAGUAGCAUUCACUUGGAGACUACAGCUUAUGUCAGUAUGUCCAUAAUAGGGUUCCCUCGCCCGGGGGCUAACCUACCUGAGGAAGGGCCACUAGGCAAAGGAGGCCCUCUCACCUAGAACUGCUGAUGCAGAGACCGGCCUUCCAUCUACCUUGAGAUGGUCUGAGCUCUGAUCCAGACCUGGUGACCUUUCAGAAGCAGGAGCAGAACAGUCACCAAACAGGCAGGCCAUGCCUCUUCCCUUGGAGUAAGAAUCCGUGAGGGUGAGGAAGGGAAACAGAAAACUAUUCUUCCCAGGGCUUCAGAAAAGGUGGGAGUGCCUAACUGACGAACCCAAGAAGAACCUGUGUGUUAUGGCAAAUUUCUAGUUCUGUAGUUUGUUAAGUGUGAGUUCACUAUUCUUUUGCAGGCCUUGCUUGCUUCUGCUCCUCACUGCUAAGCCAUUUCCCCUUUUUUUCGUUAUCUGCUUUUUACAGCUGCUUCUGCUGACUAAUUUUGGCGCACAGGAGAGGUUCAAAUGACUGUGUUAUAAGUCUAAGGCUCAUCCAAUAUUAAUCUUAGUUAUAUGCACCAUAUUGCCCCCAGUUUGAUUGUUUGCUUAAUUUGCUUUUCUCUGGAUGAAAAGGGAAGGGAAACUCAAACAUUACAGAGAGACAAUAGAUUUUCUUCUUUUCUCUCUCUAUCCGUAAACUGGCUAAUACAGUACUUUCAAGUGGAUUAUGGAAAGGAUUAGAAGUGCAGGGUUAAAAGACAAAUAGAAGUGGUUUCUAUUGUCAGCCUCUGAAAUUCGAUGAACAGACUGAAAGUUCAGUUGAGGUCUAUGAAAAUAUUAGCAGAUGCCAAAAGGCCAGCAGCCAGGAUUUGUGUCUUUGUGCAAGAACUGAAUAGUUACCAACAGCUAGAAAAUUUUAAUAACCAUGGAAGUGAUGGAAUAGUCGGUCCUAUAAAAAAGAGAGUGAGAAAGAGAGAAAUUUUCUGCAGUGAUUAGAUUUAUGAACUCCUAAAAGAAUGGUCUCUACAGAUUCUAAGCCCCUAAGCAUGUAGAUAACUGAAAUAUUAAGACUUGGAGAUAAAAUUUCUUUAUUUUUUUAAUGAUGCUGUUAGUAAUAGCAGUUGAAAUGAAUCUGACCUAACUUGAGAUCUUGUAGUGAAGGGAACUAGUAUGCAUAAUUAUUAGUCAAAAUUUAAGUUUGCAAUAAGCUUCAAAAGUUGUAUUUUUAGGUUAUUCAGAAUAUUAAUCACACAACAUCUUAACAAGAUGGAGAUUCUUUUCUCAGUGGUAAACUUAGAUAAUUACAUGAAUAAAAUCAUGAUUGGCCCUCCUUAAUGAUUUUGUGCUUCUGAACAUUUAAAUUGGAAACAUAUUUAUUUGAUUCAUCUUUUUAAAAAAGAUAUUAGUCAACAUAGUAAAAAAUUUAGGCUACAUAAAUGUCAAAAGUUGAAAGUGUUCUUUAUAAACAAGAAUUUGCAUUUUUAAUAUAAAACAUAAGUGACAAAAACAUGAUUAAGACAAAUAUUUGGGAUUUUAUUUGCAGAUCAAAUUACAAAAUGUGUAAAUGUUUACUUAAUGAUAAUUUCCUUUGUUAUAAUUAGAAUCCAUAGUUUUAAUUUAGUUUUAUCAGAAUGAAUUUAUUGCUUUUAUUUCUAUAAGGACAACUUUUCUAUUAAAUCAAGUAUCUUAACUGAUAUUUGACUGUAGUGACAGAAAAGAAACAGGAGAGGGCACUUUAGCUCUCUAACAAAAUAAAACCAUUCCUAAGCCCUUUUAUAAAUCAGUAAAACGAUGAGAGGAUUUGAAAUAUCUGGCAAAGGUUAAACAAAAAUGUGAAGCAAGUUCCUCUGCUUCCCAUAGCUUAAUAAAAGAUAUCUCAGGUAAAUGGCAGUUUCUUUCUUUAAUCAUUCCAUAAAUCCACUGGGUAACAUGAAAAACAAGUGUUCUCAGAUCUGCAAAUAUGUGGAUCCAUCAUUUCAAGAACACUUCAUUUAAAAAAAUCUCACGCUUAUUUGGAAAUUGCCUGAUCUAUUGAGUGUAUUAUAUUUAAAUAAGUAAAUUUUCAUAAUCCAGGAUUUUUGAGAAGAUGGAGUUCUCUAACUAUUAAGAAGUAGCGAUAUGAACACUGUAUAUGUCUUAUAUCUUGGUUUGAUGCUUACUAAUAAUUAGCCUGUGCCAUUAGUCAUGUUUUUAGUCAGUUUCCUCAAAAAUUAUCUUUAGCAGCAGCAGCAGCACCUCAAGGAAAGGCUCUUGCUUUCAAGUAGCUUCUACUUUAUUGUGGUUGAAAAGGUAAUAUUAAUAUAUGAAAUAACAAACAAUAGAGAAGAUAACACACAAUGAAAUCUAAAUGGUGUUAUUCGAUGUGUAAAUAAUGCCAGACAAGUUAUUGUAAUUCCCUGGGCCUCAGUUUUUACAUUUUAUGAGGUUCUGGACUUGAUGAACUGACUGAAACAUUGACUGACAUCCAUUCUUACUCUGUAUAUUAUUCUAUAAGAUUUUAUUAUCUAGUGCCCAAGCCCUCAAUACAUUUACUGUGGUUCUUAACCAUGAGAUUUUAAAGGCCCACUUGAAAAUCUUACAGAAGAUAUGGAGCUUAUCCCCCUGAAAAAAGCUCUAAUAUAUUUCUUACUCAAAAUGAGUAAGAUUCAUUUCAAGAGGUUCAGGGGCCUUCAGAAAUCAAUCUAUAGACUUCCUAGUGGGUUGUUUAGCCUAACAAAUUCCUAACUGCAGCAAGAAUCUCUGAUAGAGGCACACAUUAUAUAGUUCUUACAUACAUUGGGGGUUAUUCCUAGAAAUUGCAUAUGGUGGUGUUGAGUCAAGAGGGGUGAUGAGGUUGCAGAGUAAGGUAUGACACGACAAGCAAUUUGGAACUUUAUCCCAUAAGUAACAAGAGGCAUACUAGAAAGUUUAAACACACAAGUGGAAGGUAUGCAUUUUAAAUAGCAAAAUCAGAGAAUAAAAUGUAAAAUAAACAGAAGAAGAAAGACAGGAAGCAAGGAGAUCGUUAGUUUGUAGCACAACAAACUGGGUGAGGCAUAGUGAAAGCCUGUUUAAAAAUCUUUCCAAAAUUAGGGAUUUAGGGAUGUUCCAUUUUCUAAGAUAGGCCUACUUUGAUUCUGUAUAAUAAAAAAUGGGACAGAAGUUUUCAAACACCAAGGGACAUUUUGAAACUGGACAAAGAUUUGUUCUCCAGUUCCAUUUAUUUUCUACUCAGGACAAGUAGAUACUAGCGGCCUUGUGGAAUACCCUAGAUGGAGUACUGCAACAGUCCAAGCAGCCUAGGAUCCACCAAGGAGGUAUGGCAUACUCCUCCUAAAAAGGCAGACCUGGAGGGCUUUGCUUCCCAUUCACAUCAGGGGCAGUGGCAGGUGCUCUGUCCCUUUUCAUUAUAUCCCUUAGGGCAGAAGUGGCUGGCAGAAAUCAUGGGCUACUCAUAAUGUUAUUUGAGGCCAGACCAAUGAGGAACUAUCUCUCCAUUCUGUAGUAGCCAAAAACAAUAAGCAAUCAAAAUUUCUGGAUGGGGACAUUUCUCAGACAACCAUAUUUUAAUGAAAAAGUGUGUGUGUGUGUGUGUGUGUGUGUAGAUUGUCUUCUAAGGAAUUUGCACACAGAUCCUGCUAUUGCCAUAUAUUGCCAAAUCCCACUUGUUUUCUAUAAGAAAAGGAAAAUAUAAUUAAUUAAAUGUUGAGGAUUGGAUACAGAAAUGUUCUCAUUCUUAUAAAGGGGAAUUUGGC
Felis catus (domestic cat) is the source of this 13684-nucleotide long non-coding RNA. RefSeq lists it as uncharacterized. Lineage: Eukaryota; Metazoa; Chordata; Mammalia; Carnivora; Felidae. The transcript has 2 exons. The record is from RefSeq and is a predicted model, not a curated record.